GCCUCAGACAUGGGGUGAGAGAG
Molecule: non-coding RNA, 23 nt
Filed under: Cricetulus griseus (Chinese hamster)
Lineage: Eukaryota; Metazoa; Chordata; Mammalia; Rodentia; Cricetidae
Source: RNAcentral